This 429-nucleotide ribosomal RNA is filed under the name Pseudomonadota bacterium. Its description in RNAcentral is "Proteobacteria bacterium partial 16S ribosomal RNA". It matches the Rfam family "Bacterial small subunit ribosomal RNA", at positions 355 to 776 of the family's 1533-position model. The record is from RNAcentral. Lineage: Bacteria; Pseudomonadati; Pseudomonadota.
UGGGGAAUAUUGGACAAUGGGCGAAAGCCUGAUCCAGCCAUGCCGCGUGUGUGAAGACGGUCUUCGGAUUGUAAAGCACUUUAAGUUGGGAGGAAGGGCAGUAAGCGAAUACCUUGCUGUUUUGACGUUACCGACAGAAUAAGCACCGGCUAACUCUGUGCCAGCAGCCGCGGUAAUACAGCGGGUGCAAGCGUUAAUCGGAAUUACUGGGCGUAAAGCGCGCGUAGGUGGUUCGUUAAGUUGAAUGUGAAGGCCCCGGGCUCAACCUGGGAACUGCAUCCAAAACUGACGAUCUAGAGUAGGGCAGAGGGUGGUGGAAUUUCCUGUGUAGCGGUGAAAUGCGUAGAUAUAGGAAGGAACACCAGUGGCGAAGGCGACCACCUGAGCUCAUACUGACACUGAGGUGCGAAAGCGUGGGGAGCAAACAGG